Molecule: ribosomal RNA, 22 nt
Filed under: Pocillopora damicornis (cauliflower coral)
Lineage: Eukaryota; Metazoa; Cnidaria; Anthozoa; Scleractinia; Pocilloporidae
Description: partial 28S ribosomal RNA
Source: RNAcentral
AGACCUCAGAUCAGGCAAGGCU